AGUCGGGAAAGUUUUUCGCUAAGAGAUCGGUCUAUAUCCUAUCAGUUAGUUGGUGAGGUAACGGCUCACCAAGGCAAUGACAGGUAGCGGGUUUGAGAGGAUGAUCCGCCACACUGGUACUGAGACACGGACCAGACUCCUACGGGAGGCAGCAGUGAGGAAUAUUGCACAAUGGGGGAAACCCUGAUGCAGCAACGCCGCGUGGAGGAUGACGCAUUUCGGUGUGUAAACUCCUUUUAUAUGUCAAGAAAAUGACGGUAGCAUAUGAAUAAGCACCGGCUAACUCCGUGCCAGCAGCCGCGGUAAUACGGAGGGUGCAAGCGUUAUUCGGAAUCACUGGGCGUAAAGGACGCGUAGGCGGGUUUGUAAGUCAGGUGUGAAAUCCUACAGCUUAACUGUAGAACUGCACUUGAAGCUACUGACCUAGA
RNAcentral lists this ribosomal RNA (428 nucleotides) under uncultured bacterium. Its description in RNAcentral is "bacterial SSU rRNA". It matches the Rfam family "Bacterial small subunit ribosomal RNA", at positions 200 to 645 of the family's 1533-position model. The record is from RNAcentral.